CAUCUGAGCUUUUCAAGUAGCAGUUACAAGAUAGAUAAGAGAUGUGCCUACUUUCUUGAGGCUGUGGGUUAGCAUACGAAAUGUCCAAAAGCCUGCCAUGUCUUUUUGGUCAAAGCAAGUUACAUGGACAGUACAUUUUUGAAAGUUAAAGAAAUAGACUCCAACUUUUGAUGACAGUAAUUGCAAAAUUUAGUUAUAGACAGGUUUUUUUUUAAGUCGACUAUUUUUGCAACUUGUCAGAGUUUUCCUGUUCUCUUUUCUCUGUGUCGCUUAUCUAGUGGAUACGUGUAUCAAGAUGUAAUGAGAAAGACUUGUGUAUAAACCAGAGUCCCUCAAAUUGGAGCUAGAUAAACUGAAAGAUGAAGCUUUUCUCACCUUCCAGAUGACCAAAAGCAUCAACUCAAAGCAAAAACGCAGCAACAGCAACUCUUGGACUAGAUGUAAAGAGACUCCAAUCUCUGAAUACCAAGUACCUAAAACACGACGAGGUGCACUAAAAAGGGGUGGAAUGUGGGAUUACAUCCCUUCCUGAGUUAACACUUGGGUAAUGUGGUGAAGAGAUACCAAGAUGAUACUAGAGAUAAUUCUAACUAAUAAUAAUAAUUCAUAUCUAAGUCUAUGGCAAUCAAUACUCUAUAUAUAUAUAGUAGUUAAGAGUUUUCAUGGAAGGGAAGAGGAC
RNAcentral lists this long non-coding RNA (679 nucleotides) under Macaca mulatta (Rhesus monkey). RNAcentral describes it as "lncRNA (ENSMMUG00000065294.1)". Lineage: Eukaryota; Metazoa; Chordata; Mammalia; Primates; Cercopithecidae. The record is from RNAcentral.